This 387-nucleotide RNase P RNA is filed under the name Acidobacteriota bacterium. RNAcentral's name for it is "Acidobacteria bacterium RNase P RNA component class A". It matches the Rfam family "Bacterial RNase P class A". From Rfam's summary of the family: Ribonuclease P (RNase P) is a ubiquitous endoribonuclease, found in archaea, bacteria and eukarya as well as chloroplasts and mitochondria. The record is from RNAcentral. Lineage: Bacteria; Pseudomonadati; Acidobacteriota.
CAAGUGGACCGGAUGGUCGCCCCGGCUCGCCGGGGAGGAAAGUCCGAACUCCGCAGAGCAGUGUGCCGGAUAACGUCCGGGCUUCCAGCGUCAAGGCUGGAAGACGGCCAGUGCCACAGAAAACAUACCGCCCCGCGCAAGCGGUGGUAAGGGUGAAAAGGUGCGGUAAGAGCGCACCGCCUGGGCAGCAAUGUUCAGGGCAUGGUAAACCCCACACGGAGCAAGACCAAAUAGGGAGGGAGCCCGCUUCGGCGGACACGCACCGGCUCGGCGCGUUAGAACCUCCGGGUAGGUCGCAUGAGCGUGGCAGCAAUGUCCCGCCAAGAGGAAUGACCGUCACUCCGCGCAAGCGGAAUACAGAAUUCGGCUUACAGGUCCACUUGCCUU